RNAcentral lists this ribosomal RNA (255 nucleotides) under Triticum aestivum (bread wheat). RNAcentral's name for it is "partial small subunit ribosomal RNA". The record is from RNAcentral. Lineage: Eukaryota; Viridiplantae; Streptophyta; Magnoliopsida; Poales; Poaceae.
AUGUCGCUAAUACUAUGGGACGAGGCUCCAAUGGCAAACAAGAUAUAUUUUGAAGCGCUAGACAGGACUCUCAGGGAUAUAUUAAGGCAUAAAAAUGUGAACAACAUUGAGCGACCAUUCAGGGGCAUGACAAUGGUUCCAGGAGGGGACUUCUGCCAGAUCCUUUCUGUUAUACCAAAGGGAAGAAGACACAACAUAGUAACUGCAUCCAUUAAAAGGUCAUAUCUUUGGAGGGACAUUCAUAUAAUUUUUUGA